This 375-nucleotide ribosomal RNA is filed under the name uncultured Wolinella sp. Its description in RNAcentral is "bacterial SSU rRNA". It matches the Rfam family "Bacterial small subunit ribosomal RNA", at positions 275 to 667 of the family's 1533-position model. Lineage: Bacteria; Pseudomonadati; Campylobacterota; Epsilonproteobacteria; Campylobacterales; Helicobacteraceae. The record is from RNAcentral.
UAUGACGGGUAUCCGGCCUGAGAGGGUGAUCGGACACACUGGAACUGAGACACGGUCCAGACUCCUACGGGAGGCAGCAGUAGGGAAUAUUGCUCAAUGGGCGAAAGCCUGAAGCAGCAACGCCGCGUGGAGGAUGAAGGUUUUAGGAUUGUAAACUCCUUUUGUUAGAGAAGAUAAUGACGGUAUCUAACGAAUAAGCACCGGCUAACUCCGUGCCAGCAGCCGCGGUAAUACGGAGGGUGCAAGCGUUACUCGGAAUCACUGGGCGUAAAGAGCACGUAGGCGGCCUUGCAAGUCAGAUGUGAAAUCCAACGGCUUAACCGUUGAACUGCAUUUGAAACUGCAAGGCUAGAGUAUGGGAGAGGUAGGUGGAAU